CGGCCGCACAAUUGGAGAUGAAUGUUCUAGUCCUACAAGUCUGCUAUAGAUGACAACAUAAAUUUGCAUAAUCUUUACCUUAAGGAACUGAAAAAAGGGGACAAAAAAAGAAAAAAAGAAAUUAAGCAAACAAUGAAUGUCAGUGGAUAUCUCAUGGAAAAUCGGUGGUCCAAAUUUGUUUUGAAUACUUUUAAUGAUCAAUUACCUAAGGCCAGUAGCACCAAUGACAGGAGCCAUCACAUUGGUAGUACANNNNNNNNCUUUAGGGUUUUACAUGCUGCCUUCUAUGUCUAUGUUGUAGACUUGAACAAAAUAUUAUAAGAGAGGCAUAAAACAUUUCUAGUUUCAGCAGAAAUCCAAAUGCAC
This 366-nucleotide unclassified non-coding RNA is filed under the name Hevea brasiliensis (rubber tree). The record is from RNAcentral. Lineage: Eukaryota; Viridiplantae; Streptophyta; Magnoliopsida; Malpighiales; Euphorbiaceae.